This 5522-nucleotide unclassified non-coding RNA is filed under the name Lucilia cuprina (Australian sheep blowfly). RNAcentral describes it as "hemicentin-1, transcript variant X4". The record is from RNAcentral. Lineage: Eukaryota; Metazoa; Arthropoda; Insecta; Diptera; Calliphoridae.
GAUGUGCUUUGCGAAUUACGAACGGCAUUCAUCUCUGCCUGCAUCAUAAAAAUUGUUCAGUGAGAGUUUGCGAUCCCGCGGGUACGGUCGAAAUAUACGGGAUUUUUUCGCAUAUGGUUUAUUGUUGUUUCCCUUAAUAUUACAACUACUAUUCUAUUGUAACUUAGUACAACGAUACAAAAUACAUAUAAACUAAACAUACAAAUAAAUACCGUCUGUGUAAUAAAAUCUAAAAAUAAAUUUAUUAAAUAAAACAUAAAAUUUUAAAUAAUAUAUUGCACAAAUAAAAUUGUUUAAAAAAUAAGUUGUGGAUAAAUUUCCGAUGGAAUCUUUUAGAGAAUCCUUUGCUUUGUGAAUGAAAUUCGUUGCCGGUGUCUUUGUAUUAUUGGUCGACAAACCAUUUCCUUGAAUACAAAGUUUACAAUCAUUUGCGGUUUAUAGUAAGUACAGGUGGCAAUAUAUACUUCUAUUAUAUUGGAACUCGCACAACAUAAAUAGCAAUCAAUACCCAUGGCCAUGUAAAUUUAAACAUAAUACAGCUCAAGUCAAGUAAUAAUAAAAAAAUAAAAACAAAAAUGUAAACCAACAAAAAAUGAAAAAGAACAGAAGCAGAAACAACUAUAACAACAUUAACUACAAGUAUACUCAUAACACUAUUAAAUAAAAUUGUUGUGAAUAAAAGCAAACACAUGUACAUAAAAAAAAACAAAAACAUCAUUAACAACAAUUACAACUGAACAUAAUUAACAUUCUGAAUAUACAUGUCUUGCAUAUUCAUUGGAGCAACUGCUGGUGCACUUACUUGCUCCUGACUCUUUCUGUCUCGUGUUAUCAGCGUCAUCGUAAACCAGCUCCACAACUAAUCCUGUUCCUGUUUCUUAUAUGUGUAUUACUUCCUUUUAUUUGUAUCCUUAUUUCAAUUUUAUGCGCCACACAAACACUCAUUUGAAUAGAAUUCCGUUCCACUAACGAAACACGAACUUUACCAUUCUAAACCAAACAAAAUAAUACAACACAUCUUAACUAUAUCCAACUCAACUCUACUCAGUUCUGCUCAUCUCGAUACGGUUUGACUUUUUUACAAUCACUGGUAUUACGUAUUUACACUGUCUGAACUAUGGAUUUAUCAUCAUACGUACAACUGUCCUGUUCAUCUGUAUUAUGUUGGCUUUUUAUACUCAUUAUAUGUUGUGCAGCUCACACAACAUCAACACGUGCUCGUGUAACACCCACAGCCAUGACACGUAACAUCGAGGAAGAAAAUGUAAAAUACUUGUUGGAAGGUCCUCCAGUGUUGGUCGAAUCAAUAUUUGGAACAUUGGCCAGACUUCCAUGUAAUGUGACGCCACCUUUGCAGGAGGAUCGUGUAGCACUAGUGAUUUGGUAUAAAGUUGGAUUAAAAACACCCAUUUAUAGUGUUGACACGAGAGAAUCCAAUUUUUCCCAAGGUACUCAUUGGUCUGAUGAAGACUAUCGAGAACGUUUAUCCUUUGCAUUGGAUGGACGUACUGGGACAUUAACAAUGAAAAAUACUCAACAAGAGGAUACAGGAGAAUAUAGAUGCCGUGUUGAUUUUCAAAAGAGUCCUACACGAAAUUCAAAAGUUAAUUUGACUGUUAUAAUUCCUCCCGAAUCAAUUAUUAUAUUGGAUCAUAAAGGAACAACAAUUAAAGAUCAUACUUUGGGCCCCUACAAUGAAGGUGCUAUGAUAAAUAUAACGUGUGUUGCCAUUGGAGGCCAACCGCAGCCUAGAGUUACCUGGUUGCACGAAAAUGCAAUACUUGACUCAUCAUCACAUGCGUUGUCAGACCGCCGUGUUGGUAAUGUUUUAUCACUGUCCAAAUUGCUAAGAAAAAAUUUGCAUAUGCAACUAACAUGUCGAGCUGCGAAUAAUAAUAUAACAAUGCCAAUUACAAAUACCGUAGUACUGGAUAUGAACCUACGUCCAUUACUUGUUAAAUUGCAAGGAGAAAAUCGUCCUUUAUCUGCGGAUAAUUCAUAUCAAUUAAGCUGUGUAGUCAUUGGCUCGAGACCAGCACCCACAAUAACAUGGUGGAAGGGUAGUACACCAAUGAAAAAUACUCAUGAAAUUGCUAAUCCCGAUGGUAAUAUGACCACAUCAAUUUUAACCUUUACACCCACAAUUGAUGACCGUGGCAAGUAUUUAUCAUGUCGCGCUGAACAGAGUAUGAUUCCAGAGUCGGGUAUGGAGGAUGGAUGGAAAUUGGAUAUUUAUCAUAUUCCUGUCGUUACGUUAGAGCUCGGCACAAAUUCUAUGAAUUCAACAUUUCGCGAAGGCAUUGAUGUGUUUUUCGAGUGUAACAUCAAAUCAAAUCCAUGGAUCAACAAUGUCAGUUGGCGCCAUAACGGUAAUAUAUUGGAAAAUAAUAUUGCUGAAGGCAUUAUAGUGGCUAACCAAAGUCUUGUUCUACAAAAUGUAAGCAGAGCUCGCAGUGGCAUUUAUACAUGCGUGGGAAGUAAUCGAGAAGGAGAUGGCGAAAGUAAUCCAGUCCAUUUGGAUAUACGAUUUGCUCCCGUAUGUCGACAAGGGCAACGAGUUGUGUAUAGUACGGGACGUCAUGAAACAGUAAAAAUUGCAUGUGAAAUUGAAGCAAAUCCAGCGGAAACAACAUACGUGUGGAAAUUCAAUGCCACACUUGGUGAAACAAUAGACAUACCGGCUUCACUUAUAGCAAUUGAUCGUGGACGCAGUAUUGCACAUUACACACCAGUGACAGAAAAUGACUAUGGAACUCUAUUAUGUUGGGCUAGUAAUGAAAUUGGUGAUCAAACGGAGCCGUGCGUUUAUACAAUAACACCAGCAGGUGAACCAGACUCUUUGGUAAAUUGUACAUUGCUCAAUCAAACUUCAACUGGCUUUCAAAUUGAGUGUAUAGAAGGAUUUGAUGGUGGCUUACAGCAAGACUUUAUUAUGGAAGUUUAUGUGAAUGGCACCACUAGACAUCCAAAAAUCUACAAAUCAAAAACACCUUACUUUGAGGUGCGUGGUUUAGUGCCAGGUGCUGGUUAUAAUGUAUUUCUGGUGGCACACAAUAGUAAAGGUCGCAGCAAUGCUACCAUAUUGCAAGUAUAUACACUUAAGGAUCCAGAGAAACAGACAGUUUUAUUUACUUACAAAAAAUCUUAUGAGACCGUUAAUCAAGCACCUUUUAAUUUAACACAACCUAAACCAAAAAAGAAAAAUCUGUCGUUAGCCUAUGCUCCUGCCAUUGAGGAUAUACGGCCGUUUUUAGGUAUUUUAGUUGGUGUUGUGGUCAGCAUAAUUUUGGUGGCUCUAAUCAUUGUAAUCAUUGUGCGAAUGAGGGGUUCUUCAGGAAGAGACCGUAAUAAUUAUAUGCAUGCAACAGCAACAACUCAGGGACGAAACAACAAUGGCCUUGGGCCGCUUCACAAUAGCCACGACAUGCACAAUGGGAGAGGAAAUUGUCAUGUAACAAGCAGUUUGGAUAGUAUUGACAAAAAUCCCGAUAUAAUACCGCAAGAUGGACACGAUGAUGAUGAUGAGUGGACGACAAGUGCACAUAAUCAUGCUUAUGCUACAGCUGCCAUGGCCGAACAGAAUGCUGUGAUAACGACAUCAACAACUUAUGAUCACAUAAUACCCACAUAUGCUGUCGUCGAUAAAAAGUCACAACAGCAGCAUUUACAACAACUACAACAACAUCAACAGCAAACACAGCAAAUGUCUGCUGUACCGCCGACACAUCAUGGUCAAUAUGUACAAUACAAUACUCUCAUACCAGUUAGCAAAAUGAGUGCUUUCCAAGCACAACAACAACAAGCAAAUAAGAGUGAGCUAACGCACGCCGACAUGACUGGAGCAACAAAUCAACGUAUACCACAAUAUUGCAGUGCAACGUUAGGUCGUCCCAGACAGGCGGAUUUAAAACGAGCCGAACCCAAUAUAUAUUCCCAGAUUGAUCUUGCUCAUCAUCCCAUGUACUCUACGAGUCCUAUGUUUGCCACUAGUACCAUAACUGGUGUCACAAUGUCACAUCCAUCACAAUUGGCCACCUUUACAACACCACCACUUCCAUCCAUGUAUGCGCAUAAACUAGUUUCAGCUUCACAAUCCCAAAAUAUUCCAACCAGCAUGGUAUCCGUGUCGGCAGCAAAUGUCCAUUCCACCAACAUUGGCAGUGGCUGUGGUAGCGUAGGAGGUGGAAGUCUGUUGCAAACUAGUAUGUUACCCGGCCAUAUACCAGUCUCACAUCAUAGUGCCCAACAACAAUCCAUCAUUUGUGCGUCCCAAAAGAGACCACAAUCGCCUUCGGCAGCUUCAACACAUUCAACGGCAUCAGUAACGGCCACGCUGCCAUCGUCGUCUUUGGCAUCAUGUUGUUCAGCGGGUGGAGUAGGUGGCGGCAUCUUAAAUUUACAGGGAAAUGGAAGUAUAAUGGCUGUCAACAAUAUGGGUGGCUCAGGUGUUUAUCUUAACGAAGCGCCCACAAACUCUGGUAUUUUAAAAUCUGUUCCCGAAGAAAUAAUUCAUCAUCAAAUUAAUGGCGAGAAUAUUAUAGUGACACAAGAUCGAAACAAUGGCACAAGAUUCUGACGCUAAACAUUAUACAAUUUUAAAGAAAAAUGAACUAAUAAUUCAAAUCUCAACAAUAAAAAAGUAGACAAUGAACCUCAUAUAAGUAAAAAAAAUCAUAAAAUUAACAUUUUAAAUCAAUUCAAAGUGAACCUCAUGUUGAUAUAAAAUAAAUGAAAAAAGAAACAAAAAUAUAUAAAAUAAUUUACAAGAAAGUAAGAGAUGAAAAGGAAACAAGAGACCUUCUUUAAGAACAACAUAUAGCAGAGUAAUUAAGACGUUAAAGAAAAAGAAAAACUCAAUUAACUGCCUUUUAAAAGAAUCGCAUUUAAAUCCUAUUUAUCACUAAAUCCUUUCAAGCCGACAAUUUAUAUAACAAAAUAUUCUUGAAUCCUCUAGGAAAUGAAAAACAACAAUGGCAAGGAUUCAUAAAAUAAAAUCGCUAUCAGUGAAAUUAUAAAAAAAAGAACUAAAACCGAUUAAAAACACAAGCAAACAAGUUAACGAAGAAAACGUUUUGUAAAUUUAUUUUAAAUUAUUAACAAUUAAAUCAUUCAUAAAAAUUUAAUUGAACACAAAAACUAAACCGGAAACAAACAAAUUAUUCUAAACUCAAAAAAUAUAUAUUAAUAAAUUAAUAUUUAAAAAGUUGUUAAUUAGUUUAAGCAAAUUAAAAAAGUGAGAAAUUAUCUAUUAUGUAUUUGUUUCGUUUCCAUUGGUAUAAAACCAUAUUAUUUAUUUAUUUAUUUAAUUUAUUAAUUCGCCAGUCAUUACUGUUAGUCAUCUGUGUGUAUAUUCAAGAUAUAAUUAAAUUCAACUUAAGCCCUCGACAUCUUCAUUAGAUCAACUCUAAAUGUAUUGAUCUUAAAAAGUUAAAAUUCCAAAUGCCAACCUAUGUGUACAGACAAAACCUCUAUUGUAAUUAAAUAUUUAAAUGAAUUAACAAAACAUUUUCUAUUUCUAAGUC